GAAGGUUAGUCUGCUCAAAACCUCCGCAUAGUCUGUCCAAGGAAUGUUUACUUCCAACAGAGAUUGAUAAUAAGCGAUUCCAUGAAGUUGAGCUUGAAAUAGAGACCGGGCGCAUGGAGGUGGAGAAAAUUGGGCUUCGUGUGGUAUAAAAGCAAGACAUUGAAGAUCCCAAUUGAGAUGCUUUCUUCAGUUGGUGAUGAAAUCUAGGGUUUGAAGAUCCCAACCAAAAUAUGCGAAGCCCAUGAUGAGGAUGAUGGGGAAUUCUUUUCUUCACUUCUUUUACCUAAAUUUACAAAAGACACCUUGCCUGCUUCAGAUGUUGAUUUUGCUCUAUGAUUUGCACACCUACGUAUAAUUGAAGUUAGA
This is a long non-coding RNA of Quercus lobata, 366 nucleotides long. RefSeq lists it as uncharacterized. The transcript is spliced from 2 exons. NCBI's taxonomy places the organism in Eukaryota, Viridiplantae, Streptophyta, Magnoliopsida, Fagales, Fagaceae. The record is from RefSeq and is a predicted model, not a curated record.